RNAcentral lists this transfer RNA (76 nucleotides) under Pectinatus brassicae. Its description in RNAcentral is "tRNA-Thr". It matches the Rfam family "tRNA". Rfam says of the family: Transfer RNA (tRNA) molecules are approximately 80 nucleotides in length. Their secondary structure includes four short double-helical elements and three loops (D, anti-codon, and T loops). The record is from RNAcentral. Lineage: Bacteria; Bacillati; Bacillota; Negativicutes; Selenomonadales; Selenomonadaceae.
GCUGGCAUAGCUCAGUUGGCAGAGCAGGUCAUUCGUAAUGAUCAGGUCGUAGGUUCAAUUCCUAUUGCCAGCUCCA